Molecule: ribosomal RNA, 500 nt
Filed under: uncultured bacterium
Lineage: Bacteria
Description: partial 16S ribosomal RNA
Rfam family: Bacterial small subunit ribosomal RNA
Source: RNAcentral
AUUGAACGCUGGCGGAAUGCUUUACACAUGCAAGUCGAACGGCAGCACGGACUUCGGUCUGGUGGCGAGUGGCGAACGGGUGAGUAAUGUAUCGGAACGUGCCCAGUCGUGGGGGAUAACGUAGUGAAAAUUACGCUAAUACCGCAUACGAUCUAUGGAUGAAAGCGGGGGAUCGCAAGACCUCGCGCGAUUGGAGCGGCUGAUAUCAGAUUAGGUAGUUGGUGGGGUAAAGGCCCACCAAGCCAACGAUCUGUAGCUGGUCUGAGAGGACGACCAGCCACAAUGGAACUGAGACACGGUCCAGACUCCUACGGGAGGCAGCAGUGGGGAAUUUUGGACAAUGGGCGAAAGCCUGAUCCAGCCAUUCCGCGUGCAGGAUGAAGGCCCUCGGGUUGUAAACUGCUUUUGUACAGAACGAAAGGGUUUCUACUAAUACUAGGAGCUCAUGACGGUACUGUAAGAAUAAGCACCGGCUAACUACGUGCCAGCCGCCGCGGUAA